GACGAACGCUGGCGGCGUGCCUAACACAUGCAAGUCGAACGAGAAAGGGGCUUCGGCUCCGAGUAAAGUGGCGAACGGGUGAGUAACACGUGGGUGACCUGCCCUUAGCUCUGGGAUAAGCCUGGGAAACUGGGUCUAAUACCGGAUAUGACUCCAUGACGCAUGUUGUGGGGUGGAAAGCCUUGUGCGGCUAGGGAUGGGCCCGCGGCCUAUCAGCUUGUUGGUGGGGUGAUGGCCACCAAGGCGACGACGGGUAGCCGGCC
This 263-nucleotide ribosomal RNA is filed under the name uncultured bacterium. RNAcentral's name for it is "partial 16S ribosomal RNA". It matches the Rfam family "Bacterial small subunit ribosomal RNA", at positions 28 to 292 of the family's 1533-position model. The record is from RNAcentral.